Molecule: ribosomal RNA, 253 nt
Filed under: uncultured bacterium
Lineage: Bacteria
Description: partial 16S ribosomal RNA
Rfam family: Bacterial small subunit ribosomal RNA
Source: RNAcentral
CGGAGGGUGCAAGCGUUAUCCGGAUUUACUGGGUUUAAAGGGUGCGUAGGUGGGUAGGUAAGUCAGUGGUGAAAUCUUCGAGCUUAACUCGGAAACUGCCAUUGAUACUAUUUAUCUUGAAUACUCUGGAGGUAAGCGGAAUAUGUCAUGUAGCGGUGAAAUGCUUAGAUAUGACAUAGAACACCAAUUGCGAAGGCAGCUUACUACAUAGUUAUUGACACUGAGGCACGAAAGCGUGGGAUCAAACAGGAUU